CCGCUGGGCCCCGCGGGAGGAGGUGCUCGGCGGCGCCCAGGGAGAGCUGGGCCUAGCGGGGCUGGUCCCGGCCCCGCCCGGUAGCGCGGCGGGGCCUGCCGGGCUCUCCCACCCGUGGGCCGCCCCCGUCCCGCUUCUCGCCCCGCUCCUGGCCCCGCCGGCCCCACGAGCGCAGGGCAGCGGCCUGCCCGCCGCGCUGGGCAUCUUCCGGGAGCUGGCCGGGCUGGCGCGGGAGCCGGGGCCCGGGGGCAGCAGGGCGGGGGCGGCGCCGCGGCUGAGGACCGUGUACGUGAACCCCAGGUGGCUGGAGCGGCAGGCGGCCUUGGCGGCGGCCCCGCAAGGCCCGGUCGGGCCGCAGGGCCCGGAGGCUGCGAGCAGCUCGCCGGGGCCUCCGCCCGCCACCCAGGGGGAGCCCUGCCCGGAGGCAGCGAGUCCCUACGUGGGGCUGCGGAGACCCCUGGGCUACCAGCUGGCGAAGGCCACCAAGGAGCGGAUCUGGAGGGGGGAGUUCAUUGACCUGUUCUCCUUGCUCCACACAGAGCUGGCCCCGGAGCACGAGCCUGGCCAGGGGCUGGGGGACACGCUGGACCAGUGGGUCUCCGCCUUCCUGGUGUACGCCAGUGUGCUGUGCGAGAAGCACCCCAACAGGUGUGGGGCCAUGUUCAAAUACCUGGAUGUCAUCCGCAAAUUCCACGCCACCUACGGCGGCACUUCCUGGCUGCACUAUGACGAGGACUUCAGGCGGCUGGCGGCCAAGGACCCCACCAUGGCCUGGGGGGAUGUUGACUUGAAUCUCUGGAUGAAGUGGAUGGCCCCGUUAAAGCCAUCGACAACCAGGCAGCCGCAGGCUGCGGGUGACCAGCAGGCUCCACUGCGGCCUCAAAAUUCCAGGACGGAUGAUAAAAGUCAGACUUCUCAUUUCUGAAAUGUAGCAGAUCAGUUUUUACUUCACUGCAGAUCUUACCAUGAGAAAGCUAGUUGGAAGGGCAGUCCAACUAAAUUGGUGAGUUACAUACUAUAACUGACUAACUCUAAAAUUUAAAUGUGUGUGCAUUUGUUAAAUACAGAAUUUUUUAUAGGUACCAACAGCCUGACUCCAUUGUUGUCUAAGUGGAGCUCAGGUAUUCUAUUGCACCCAUUUACCUCUGCUUUUGCUGCAUUGCAUGCUCUGCUAAAGAAGACAUAGGAGAUUCAUUUUACCCAACCAGCAGUUGUAGCAAUGGACUACAAUCAAGCCAGUUUGUUGGACAGUAAGAAUACUUGCAGUGCAGCAUUUGACACAGACUAUCUAAAGAGGGCAAAGAUUCAGGAGGGUGAAUGAGUUGAACCGCCUUUGAAUGAAGUCUGAAACAACUUCAAGAAGGGGAAUCCUACUCUAAAAUACUACAUAGAAAGUAUAAGUCAAAGUGAAUAUUGUAAUUGCCAGAUUGUCCCUUCUCAUACAAGCAAACUAUUUUGUGCUGUUCUGGGUCCUUAAAAGAACACACUUGAAUAUUUCAAAAUCUAUGUAUUACACUUAUUUAAAAAAAAAUUCAAAUAUUUGUCUUUAUUAACUUUGCCAUUUCAUGAAGAAUAUCUGCAACAACAUGUACUGAGUUGAAUAAUACCCUACAUUCAAUAGAUCAGCAGCUGUUGACAGUUGUUUUAUAAGAUUCACACAACAUUUCCUCUCUUUUUCCUCUGGGGGAAAAGAAGCAUUGACUUCCAUUGGCACAUUCAAAAAAGCCAUAGGGCAGUCAUACAUACCUUGCUUCUUCACCACACAUAGAGAUGACAAAUUAUUCUUCCAUGCAUCCCAAUAGUAUAUCUAGCAUUGUAAAUAUCAAGUUAUGAAUGGUUAUUAUCUGGUGCCAAUGAAAGUUAGAUUAGAUGGAUCAUGGCUUAAUUAUUUGGGUUUUUUUCCCAGUGUUCUGUUUUUUCUCUCCCCCUCACCUCACAUACUAGGGCAUAUGAUCAAGAUGAUAAUUAGGUAUCAGAAAAUCAACCAUUAUCUGUUCUGUUUUUCCCAUUCUUGGUUGUCACAAUAUUAUGCACUAACUUGAAAUGUUUGUAAAUUCAUAUUAAAAAUGUUUGAGACCUCAUCUAAAUAAAUUUUUUUUAUAAAAAUGUCGUGCUUAA
This is a long non-coding RNA of Chrysemys picta bellii (western painted turtle), 2118 nucleotides long. Lineage: Eukaryota; Metazoa; Chordata; Testudines; Emydidae. The record is from Ensembl.